Molecule: ribosomal RNA, 253 nt
Filed under: uncultured bacterium
Lineage: Bacteria
Description: partial 16S ribosomal RNA
Rfam family: Bacterial small subunit ribosomal RNA
Source: RNAcentral
UACGAAGGGUGCAAGCGUUGCUCGGAAUCACUGGGCGUAAAGGGUGCGUAGGCGGGUCUUUAAGUCAGGGGUGAAAUCCUGGAGCUCAACUCCAGAACUGCCUUUGAUACUGAGGAUCUUGAGUAUGGGAGAGGUGAGUGGAACUGCGAGUGUAGAGGUGAAAUUCGUAGAUAUUCGCAAGAACACCAGUGGCGAAGGCGGCUCACUGGCCCAUUACUGACGCUGAGGCACGAAAGCGUGGGGAGCAAACAGG